Molecule: non-coding RNA, 73 nt
Organism: Solenopsis invicta (red fire ant)
Lineage: Eukaryota; Metazoa; Arthropoda; Insecta; Hymenoptera; Formicidae
Source: Rfam
UUUAAAUGAUGAGAAUUCCAGGUCCGUGUUUCUGAUUAAUCAGUGAUUAAUCUUAUAACCAUUCUCUGAUAAA